GGCGUUGUGUCAGAUGAAUUGAGCCAUCUUGAUGUGGUGGAGGAUGGGAUUUUUUUCUCCGACGCUU
RNAcentral lists this transfer RNA (67 nucleotides) under Mactra sp. WB-F. RNAcentral's name for it is "tRNA-Ile". The record is from RNAcentral. Lineage: Eukaryota; Metazoa; Mollusca; Bivalvia; Venerida; Mactridae.